Long non-coding RNA from Solenopsis invicta (red fire ant), 334 nucleotides. RefSeq lists it as uncharacterized. The transcript has 2 exons. Lineage: Eukaryota; Metazoa; Arthropoda; Insecta; Hymenoptera; Formicidae. The record is from RefSeq and is a predicted model, not a curated record.
ACUAUUUGGACUUGAGACUCUGGACCAAGGAGAUGCCGUCAGACUAGAGGGUUGACUGUUAUCAGAGGACGUAUGAGAUGUUAAAGAAUACUCUGUCUCUCCCUUUUCAUCUUCCAUGAUUGGCAGUGGCAUCCCUAUAAAAGUCCAGCGAUGAUCCCGGAGUGGACGAGACAUAAGCCUGUUGUUUCAUGAGCGUUCUUGCAUCAAGAACUUGAAGCGACAUGUCCAGACCGGAACUAAAAAUAAUCAUAAGUUCUUUUAAUCUUAAACACAUGCAAUAAUUCCACGAAUGUUAUCUGAGUAUAAAUGUUUCUACCUCGUUGAAACAUCAUUC